AACGAACGCUGGCGGCAUGCCUAACACAUGCAAGUCGAACGCCCCGCAAGGGGAGUGGCGAACGGGUGAGUAACGCGUGGGAACCUACCCAGCAGUUGGGGAUAACCGCGGGAAACUGCGGCUAAUACCGACUACGUCCUAAGGGAGAAAGAUUUAUCGCUGUUGGAGGGGCCCGCGUCGGAUUAGCUAGUUGGUGAGGUAACGGCUCACCAAGGCGACGAUCCGUAGCUGGUCUGAGAGGAUGAUCAGCCACACUGGGACUUAGACACGGCCCAGACUCCUACGGGAGGCAGCAGUGGGGAAUAUUGGACAAUGGGGGCAACCCUGAUCCAGCAAUGCCGCGUGAGUGAUGAAGGCCUUAGGGUUGUAAAGCUCUUUUACCGGGGACGAUGAUGACGGUACCCGGAGAAUAAGCCCCGGCUAACUUCGUGCCAGCCGCCGCGGUAA
Molecule: ribosomal RNA, 447 nt
Filed under: uncultured bacterium
Lineage: Bacteria
Description: partial 16S ribosomal RNA
Rfam family: Bacterial small subunit ribosomal RNA
Source: RNAcentral